GGACUCUGGUCAUAACCAGUGGCUUAUAUUGGGCUCUGGUCAUAACUAGUGGCUUAUAUUGGGCUCUGGUCAUAACUAGUGGCUUAUAUAAGGCUCUGGUCUAAACUAGUUGCUUAUAUAGGGGGCCAUUUGGGAUGUGUCACAUGUCUUGUCUGUGAGUUUAUUAGAGCAUUCUGAGGUAUACUGUUGAUGUGGGCGGAGGUACAGCACUGUGGAUGUAGGUGGAGGUACAGCGCUGUGUAUGUAGGUGGAGGUACAGCUCUGUGGAUGUACAGCACUGUGGAUGUAGGUGGAGGUACAGCACUGUGUAUGUAGGUGGAGGUACAGCACUGUGGAUGUAGGUGGAGGUACAGCACUGUGGAUGUAGGUGGAGAUACAGC
Long non-coding RNA from Oncorhynchus tshawytscha (Chinook salmon), 380 nucleotides. The record is from Ensembl. NCBI's taxonomy places the organism in Eukaryota, Metazoa, Chordata, Actinopteri, Salmoniformes, Salmonidae.